AUCAACUUUCGAUGGUAGGAUAGAGGCCUACCAUGGUGGUAACGGGUAACGGGGUGUUAGGGCACGACACCGGAGAGGGAGCCUGAGAAACGGCUACCACAUCCAAGGAUGGCAGCAGGCGCGCAAAUUACCCAAUCCCGACACGGGGAGGUAGUGACAAUAAAUAACAAUACGGGGUUCUUUAGGAUCUCGUAAUUGGAAUGAGUACAAUUUAAAUCUCUUAACGAGGAACAAUUGGAGGGCAAGUCUGGUGCCAGCAGCCGCGGUAAUUCCAGCUCCAAUAGCGUAUAUUAAAGUUGUUGCAGUUAAAAAGCUCGUAGUUGAAUUUCGGGGUCGGUAGGUUGGUCAUGCCAUCGGUAUGCACUGGUCUCACCGAUUCCUCCCUCUUGUAGAAGCGUAAUGCCAUUAAUUUGGUGUUGCGGGGAAACAGGACUGUUACUUUGAAAAAAUUAGAGUGUUUAAAGCAGGCUAACGCCUGAAUACAUUAGCAUGGAAUAAUGAAAUAGGACGUCGAUCCUAUUUUGUUGGUUUCUAGGGUUGACGUAAUGAUUAAUAGGGAUAGUUGGGGGCAUUAGUAUUCAAUUGUCAGAGGUGAAAUUCUUGGAUUUAUUGAAGACUAACUACUGCGAAAGCAUUUGCCAAGGAUGUUUUCAUUAAUCAAGAACGAAAGUUAGGGGAUCGAAGACGAUCAGAUACCGUCGUAGUCUUAACCAUAAACUAUGCCGACUAGGGAUCGGAUGAUGUUAAUUUUUUAAUGACUCAUUCGGCGCCUUACGGGAAACCAAAGUGUUUGGGUUC
RNAcentral lists this ribosomal RNA (798 nucleotides) under uncultured Glomeromycotina. Its description in RNAcentral is "SSU rRNA". It matches the Rfam family "Eukaryotic small subunit ribosomal RNA", at positions 314 to 1114 of the family's 1831-position model. Lineage: Eukaryota; Fungi; Glomeromycota. The record is from RNAcentral.